UGCAGUCGAACGGUAACAGGAUUAGCUUGCUAAUCGCUGACGAGUGGCGGACGGGUGAGUAAUGCUUGGGAACUUGCCUUUGCGAGGGGGAUAACAGUUGGAAACGACUGCUAAUACCGCAUAAUGUCUACGGACCAAACGGGGCUUCGGCUCCGGCGCAAAGAGAGGCCCAAGUGAGAUUAGCUAGUUGGUAAGGUAAAGGCUUACCAAGGCGACGAUCUCUAGCUGUUCUGAGAGGAAGAUCAGCCACACUGGGACUGAGACACGGCCCAGACUCCUACGGGAGGCAGCAGUGGGGAAUAUUGCACAAUGGGGGAAACCCUGAUGCAGCCAUGCCGCGUGUGUGAAGAAGGCCUUCGGGUUGUAAAGCACUUUCAGUUGUGAGGAAAGGUUGGUAGUUAAUACCUGCCAGCUGUGACGUUAACAACAGAAGAAGCACCGGCUAACUCCGUGCCAGCAGCCGCGGUAAUACGGAGGGUGCGAGCGUUAAUCGGAAUUACUGGGCGUAAAGCGCACGCAGGCGGUUUGUUAAGCUAGAUGUGAAAGCCCCGGGCUCAACCUGGGAUGGUCAUUUAGAACUGGCAGACUAGAGUCUUGGAGAGGGGAGUGGAAUUCCAGGUGUAGCGGUGAAAUGCGUAGAUAUCUGGAGGGACAUCAGUGGCGAAGGCGGCUCCCUGGCCAAAGACUGACGCUCAUGUGCGAAAGUGUGGGUAGCGAACAGGAUUAGAUACCCUGGUAGUCCACACCGUAAACGCUGUCUACUAGCUGUUUGUGAAUUUAAUUCGUGAGUA
This 791-nucleotide ribosomal RNA is filed under the name uncultured Alteromonas sp. RNAcentral describes it as "bacterial SSU rRNA". It matches the Rfam family "Bacterial small subunit ribosomal RNA", at positions 56 to 845 of the family's 1533-position model. Lineage: Bacteria; Pseudomonadati; Pseudomonadota; Gammaproteobacteria; Alteromonadales; Alteromonadaceae. The record is from RNAcentral.